CACGUAAUUAGCCGGACCUUAUUCGUAUAGUACUGUCAUUUUCUUCCUAUACAAAAGAUUUUUACAACCCGAAGGCCUUCUAAAUCACGCGGCGUCGCUGCAUCAGGGUUUCCCCCAUUGUGCAAAAUUCCCCACUGCUGCCUCCCGUAGGAGUCUGGGCCGUGUCUCAGUCCCAAUGUGGCCGUGCACUCUCUCAAGCCGGCUACUGAUCGUUGCCUUGGUGAGCUGUUAUCUCACCAACUAGCUAAUCAGACGCAAGUCCAUCUUACACCACUAAACAUUUUGACCAGAUUAUCAUGCGAUUGUCUGGUUUCAUAGGGUAUUAUUCUCCGUUUCCAGAGGCUAUCCUCUUGUGUAAGGCAGGUUACUCACGCGUUACUCACCCGUUCGCCACUAAUCCAUUCAUUUUCAUUCCGAAGAAUACUAAUGUAGUUUCAUUCGUUCGACUUGCAUGUGUUAUGCACGCCGCCAGCGUUAAUCCUGACGUCCGAGGAUACUAAA
This 501-nucleotide ribosomal RNA is filed under the name uncultured Anaerococcus sp. Its description in RNAcentral is "partial 16S ribosomal RNA". Lineage: Bacteria; Bacillati; Bacillota; Tissierellia; Tissierellales; Peptoniphilaceae. The record is from RNAcentral.